AUUGAACGCUGGCGGCAUGCCUUACACAUGCAAGUCGAACGGCAGCACGGGUGCUUGCACCUGGUGGCGAGUGGCGAACGGGUGAGUAAUACAUCGGAACAUGUCCUGUAGUGGGGGAUAGCCCGGCGAAAGCCGGAUUAAUACCGCAUACGAUCUACGGAUGAAAGCGGGGGACCUUCGGGCCUCGCGCUAUAGGGUUGGCCGAUGGCUGAUUGGCUAGUUGGUGGGGUAAGGGCCUACCAAGGCGACGAUCAGUAGCUGGUCUGAGAGGACGACCAGCCACACUGGGACUGAGACACGGCCCAGACUCCUACGGGAGGCAGCAGUGGGGAAUUUUGGACAAUGGGCGAAAGCCUGAUCCAGCAAUGCCGCGUGUGUGAAGAAGGCCUUCGGGUUGUAAAGCACUUUUGUCCGGAAAGAAAUCCUUGGCCCUAAUACGGUCGGGGGAUGACGGUACCGGAAGAAUAAGCACCGGCUAACUACGUG
Molecule: ribosomal RNA, 486 nt
Filed under: uncultured bacterium
Lineage: Bacteria
Description: partial 16S ribosomal RNA
Rfam family: Bacterial small subunit ribosomal RNA
Source: RNAcentral